UCGGGGGCUGCAGUACUUAGGAUGGUUAUGCUUCCACAGAGGAAAUGCCAGGAGAGGUGGCCCUGGAGCUAGAGGCCCUUAUGAGGUGCAGGAGGCACAGCGAGCAGAGCCCUGGGCACUGAGCAUUGUGUUCAGAGGAAACAGCUGCAUCCCAGCCAAGGCCGGAGUAACAGGUGUGUUCCCAACUGAGAAAACGGUGCAGUUUCAUCUUCUGAAUCCAAGAACGGAAGCACAAUGGGACCUGGGCAUCCAGUACUACUCACUCAGGAGCACAUGUGACCAGCCCCUCAGAGCCUCUGAGGGAGACAAUUGGAGCUAGGAGUGGACCCAGAAGCAGCCUGCUGGAGGAAGCUGCAAAUGUGAUCAUCAUGAGGCUGGAGAUGCUGAAGAUCGGUGAACAUUCCCAGUGACUCUGGCUCAAUCUGGGACCCUGGCCAGAGCUACUGGUCACCAACACUAUGCAGGGUUUGGGGCUUCAGUGCCUCCCAAGAUGGAUCUGCAGGUUCUUGACAGGUAACAAGGUGACCCCUGUCUGCUACUGACCCCUCAAGCUGGUCGGCACAGGUUUAUAAUGAACACCACGGUGUCAUGUCAGACUCGGCCCCAGUAUGAGACCAGGGGAUGCUGAGUGUCUGCAUUUCAGCAAAAUGUAACCCAUCUGUUUCUAGGCAUUUGCCUGAGACAGAUUGUGGUCUAGCCGUCCAAGGGGGAUGUGGUGUCUGAAAGCCCCUUAAAAAGCUGAUUCAAGGUUUAUUCUCUCUUUUGAAGAGGUGAGUCAUGUUUCACCAGCAGAUACUUGUGACUCAUUUUUAAAAAAGGGUUUUCAUACUCUAAGCUGGUGGGGUUGAAGAGAAUUACAAAUCUGUGAGCCUUUCCCCAUCUUUCUUACAUCUGGAUGGAAAACACAAGCUCAUAUUCAAGGAGGUCCUCAAAGCUGGACUGUGGCGUUUUGCACACAUUAUGAAGUUAUUUCUACUUUUGGUUCUGAACCAGAAUUGAGCCCAGAACCACCAGGGCUACCCCUCCAGGGUCACCUGGAGAAUGGUUUCUGUGGUGAUGGCUGGAAUUGGGCUGGUGGUCCCAACUGAGCCACAGGUCGGGCCUCUUAACUGCACCAGGGUUAGAAGAUGCUCCUGGAAGGGGUGGAAACAACUUUCCUCCAGGCAAUACAACGUCUGUGGUUGGGGGAUUGCCUUGGAGAGAACCUGAUUGGGAUUUUCCUGGGUAAGAGUUCUGAAACUUUUCCAAGUCGUUAGAGAAAGCCUGUCCAAGCAAUUUCAUAGAAAAAGCAACCUGAGUGUUGCACAGUCACCCACUCACUCAGCAGCACAGCGCAGUGCGGAUCCUUGGGGUCCUCCCAGUUUGCAGUCACCCACUCACUCAGCAACACAGCGCAGUGCGGAUCCUUGGUGUCCUCCCAGUUUGCACAGUCACCACUCACUCAGCAGCACAGUGCAGUGCGGAUCCUUUGGGGCCUCCCAGUUUGCAUAGUCACCACUCACUCAGCAGCACAGCGCAGUGUGGAUCCUUGGGGUUCUCCCAGUUUGCACAGUCACCACUCACUCAGCAGCACAAUGCAGUGAGGAUCCUUGGGUCCUCCCAGUUUGCACAUCACCACUCACUCAGCAGCACAGCGCAGUGCAGAUCCUUGGAGUCCUCCCAGUUUGCACAGUCACCCACUCACUCAGCAGCACAGCACAGUGCAGAUCCUUGGGGUCCUCCCAGUUUGCACAGUCACCACUCACUCAGCAGCACAGCACAGUGCGGAUCCUUGGGGUCCUCCCCUGGCUUUGUGAACUUGCUGAAGCACCUGGCUCCAGCCCCAUUGCCUCUUGUGUGAAAUUAGGAUAACGGAUCCUCACAGAACUGAAGCAUAAAUUUAGUGAGUUAUUACAGGAAAAGUACUGGGCUCUCUCUGGCACAUCGUGGACACUGUGCAUUCCAAUUCCUUGCAUUUCUGGGGACAUAUAGGAGGCAUUUCUCCUUUCUCCCUUUAGAAAUCACUCAAAACCACUUGGAGAAAAAAGCCGAAAUGAGCCUUUUCUUGAUGAAUUAGGAGUGCGUGUCCUCCCCCCAGGCCCCCAACCACAGAGCAUCUUCGCGUUUUUGAACAGCCACCUGGCUCCCGCCUCAGGGCCUUGGCACCUGCCCUUUCUUCUCUCAACACAGCAUGUCCUCUGGUUGUCUGUGUCCUUGGCCCUCCUCAUCUGUCAUCAGGGAUGACGACAUCACUGACCUGCUGCUGAAGGUCGGUGCCGUCCUGCCCACACGUCUGUGAGCCCUCAGCAGGGUGCACACCUAUUUGGUUGCAUUGUGUACUUUCUAGUGUGCACUAAGUGCUUCCAACAGUGCCAGGCUCACAGCAAGCACCGCA
Non-coding RNA from Macaca mulatta (Rhesus monkey), 2374 nucleotides. NCBI's taxonomy places the organism in Eukaryota, Metazoa, Chordata, Mammalia, Primates, Cercopithecidae. The record is from RefSeq and is a predicted model, not a curated record.